Molecule: ribosomal RNA, 468 nt
Filed under: uncultured bacterium
Lineage: Bacteria
Description: partial 16S ribosomal RNA
Rfam family: Bacterial small subunit ribosomal RNA
Source: RNAcentral
GACGAACGCUGGCGGCGGGCUUAACACAUGCAAGUCGAACGGAAAGGCCCUGCUUUUGUGGGGUGCUCGAGUGGCGAACGGGUGAGUAACACGUGAGUAACCUGCCCUUGACUUUGGGAUAACUUCAGGAAACUGGGGCUAAUACCGGAUAGGAGCUCCUGCUGCAUGGUGGGGGUUGGAAAGUUUCGGCGGUUGGGGAUGGACUCGCGGCUUAUCAGCUUGUUGGUGGGGUAGUGGCUUACCAAGGCUUUGACGGGUAGCCGGCCUGAGAGGGUGACCGGCCACAUUGGGAAUGAGCUACGGCCCAGACUGCUACGGGAGGCAGAAGUGGAGAAUAUUGCACAAUGGGCGGAAGCAUGAUGCAGCAACGCCGCGUGCGGGAUGACGGACUUCGGGUUGUAAACCGCUUUCGCCUGUGACGAAGCGUGAGUGACGGUAAUGGGUAAAGAAGCAACGGCUAACUACGUG